RNAcentral lists this ribosomal RNA (301 nucleotides) under uncultured bacterium. Its description in RNAcentral is "partial 16S ribosomal RNA". It matches the Rfam family "Bacterial small subunit ribosomal RNA", at positions 509 to 807 of the family's 1533-position model. The record is from RNAcentral.
CAGUAGCCGCGGGAAUACGUAGGUGGCAAGCGUUGUCCGGAAUUAUUGGGCGUAAAGGGCUCGCAGGCGGUUUCUUAAGUCUGGUGUGAAAGCCCCCGGCUCAACCGGGGAGGGUCAUUGGAAACCGGGAAACUUGAGUGCAGAAGAGGAGAGUGGAAUUCCACGUGUAGCAGUGAAAUGCGUAGAGAUGUGGAGGAACACCAGUGGCGAAGGCGACUCUCUGGUCUGUAACUGACGCUGAGGAGCGAAAGCGUGGGGAGCGAACAGGAUUAGAUACCCCAGUAGUCCCUGUCUCUUAUAC